UACGUAGGUGGCAAGCGUUGUCCGGAUUUACUGGGUGUAAAGGGAGCGUAGACGGCAUUGCAAGUCUGAAGUGAAAGCCCGGGGCUCAACCCCGGGACUGCUUUGGAAACUGUAGAGCUAGAGUGCUGGAGAGGUAAGCGGAAUUCCUAGUGUAGCGGUGAAAUGCGUAGAUAUUAGGAAGAACACCAGUGGCGAAGGCGGCUUACUGGACAGUAACUGACGUUGAGGCUCGAAAGCGUGGGGAGCAA
RNAcentral lists this ribosomal RNA (248 nucleotides) under uncultured Agathobacter sp. RNAcentral's name for it is "partial 16S ribosomal RNA". It matches the Rfam family "Bacterial small subunit ribosomal RNA", at positions 524 to 771 of the family's 1533-position model. Lineage: Bacteria; Bacillati; Bacillota; Clostridia; Lachnospirales; Lachnospiraceae. The record is from RNAcentral.